Long non-coding RNA from Toxotes jaculatrix (banded archerfish), 1144 nucleotides. RefSeq lists it as uncharacterized. The transcript has 4 exons. The record is from RefSeq and is a predicted model, not a curated record. NCBI's taxonomy places the organism in Eukaryota, Metazoa, Chordata, Actinopteri, Toxotidae.
UUCUGCAGUUCCAGGGCUUAGUAUGUAAAGAUGCCACGCAAUUUUAAAGGAUUGAUGGGUUCCUGCAUUAUCAUCCCUUGCAGUUUUGACUAUUAUCAGUGCCUCACAAACCAGAUCAUGUGGUUUGGUACCAGAAAGUGAGAGAAUUAUGAUAGCUGAAGACAUAUGUGCCAGUGGAAUACAUUGUUUAUUGCACUUGUCCCACUGAGCAACUCACUCUGAGGUUCAACAUCCCAACACAAAGCACCUGCCUUACUCACAGCUUCACAUCUGAUAGCAUAUCCAGAACCACUGUGACGACCACCAAACUGUGAAGUGCUCCAUCUGGCACCCUGGCAGUCGGCAGGAACACAGUGCAUGAGGAAAACUGCUCACUGGAGACUGAUGACAUCAAGCCUUUUGACAAUGGACCUUUCCACGCAGAGAAAGCUUCCCUGGAAAAACCAGUGAUGACCCCAGGUCCUGCAGAAGUCAACACUGGUUGGACCAUAAAUGUCUCGUGCUCUGCGACGCACACGCGUCCCUCACAUCCCCCAGCGUUCUCAUGGAGUGUCCCUAACCUCACCUGUGAAAUCAAGAACACCUGGACCACACAAGGCAUCUGGCAGACAACCAGCCCACCCUGAUCACUUCCAUGGCUGUUAUAAUAAAUUAUAAUAUUGUUUUUCACAUGCUUUUAGAAGUGAACGAUGGGAGCCGCUUUGUUUUAGUUCUUCUUCUUCUUUUUUUUCUGUUCAAGCCACACGUGAUUGGUCAACUACAUGAUGUGUGAUGUAUCCGCACUGAGUAGGAAGGGGAGGGGAGGGGGUUAGAGAGGCAGCACCAUAGACUGCAUAAGACAGCACGCACCACAGAGAGAGGGAGAGAAACCGGAGGGAAGGAGACGCAAGAGAAAGAGAGGGAGAGAGAGAGAGAGAGAGAGAGAGAGAGAGAGAGAGAGAGAGAGAGAGAGAGAGAGAGAGAGAGCAGCCCCUACAGAGACAACAGGCUGGAAAGGUGAGAAAAUAAGUGACCGCAGGAAACGCCGUAAAAUUUGGAUGCAUUUCAAUUACAUUGAUAAUACAAAGGCAGAGUGUGCAAGAUUGUGCUAGGUUAAAAUCUCAUAUCGAGCAGGCUCUACAAAUAACCUGCACAGCAUGUACAA